This is a non-coding RNA of Rattus norvegicus (Norway rat), 69 nucleotides long. The record is from Rfam. NCBI's taxonomy places the organism in Eukaryota, Metazoa, Chordata, Mammalia, Rodentia, Muridae.
GGGGAUUUAGCUCAGUGGUAGAGCGCUUGCCUAGCAAGCGCAAGGCCCUGGGUUCGAUCCUCAGCUCCG